This 67-nucleotide transfer RNA is filed under the name Marmota monax (woodchuck). RNAcentral's name for it is "tRNA.Ala". Lineage: Eukaryota; Metazoa; Chordata; Mammalia; Rodentia; Sciuridae. The record is from RNAcentral.
GGUUGUGGCUCAGUAGUAGCAUGCUUGCCUGGCAUGCAUGAGGCACUGGGUUCAAUUCUCAGCACCA